This is a long non-coding RNA of Homo sapiens (human), 855 nucleotides long. RefSeq lists it as uncharacterized. The record is from RefSeq and is a predicted model, not a curated record. NCBI's taxonomy places the organism in Eukaryota, Metazoa, Chordata, Mammalia, Primates, Hominidae. The transcript has 2 exons.
AGUCGAUCCCUGGUCUCCACGGCGGUGCAGCCUCAGCCUCCUCGCUUUUCACGGUCGGCUUGGGCGUCCCUUCGGAAUGCCUUCCUCACUGAUGGCAGCCUUCUGUGCCUCUGCUCUGAGAACAUGAGACUCAUCCUUGAUUCUGGCACACGGGUGUUACUUGGUCACAUGAAAUAAAAGGUUACGGGCAUGGUGGUUCACGCCUGUAAUCCCAGCACUUUGGGAGGCCGAGGCGGAUGGAUCACGAAGUCAGGAGAGGACCAGCCUGGCCAAGAUGGUGAAACCCCGUGUCUACUAGAAAUACGAAAAUUAGCCGGGCAUGGUGGCAGGCGCCUGUAAUUCCAGCUACUUGGGAGGCUGAGGCAGAGAAUUGCUUGAACCCAGGAGGCGGAGGUUGCAGUGAGCCAAGAUUGCGCCACUGCACUCCAGCCUGGGUGACAGAGCCAGACUCCGUCUCAAAAAAAAAAAAAAGAAAGAAAAACAGGGUCUUGUUCUGUUGCUCAGGCUGGAGUGGAGUGGUGUGAUCACAGCUCACUGCAGCCUCAACCUCCUGGGUCCUGGGCUCAAGCAAUCCUCCUGCCUCUGCUUGCCUAGUAGCUGGGACCUCAGGCACACAUCAGCACACCUGGCCAACUUUUUUUUGUAUGUUUUUGUAGAGAUGAGAUCUCACUAUGUUGCCCAGUUUGGUCUCAAGCUCUUGAGCUCAAGCGAUCCUCCCACCUGAGCCUCCCAAAGCGCUGGGAUUACAAGCAUGAGCCACUAUGUCUGGCCCUAAUGGACGGUGUUAGACAAUGACAGGAGUGCACAUAAGAGAUCAAAACUAGAACUUGCAUAAUUAGUAUUAUUUAUUAAGCA